GUCAGAAAUAAAAAAAGAUUCGCAUAGCAAAAAAAAAAAAAAGAAGAUUACUUAUUUUAAACCAAGUGAAUCGGUUAAAUGAUUCAGUUAAAUGAUUCACUUGUCUAAAAACCGUCAAAGCAAAAAAAAAAAAAAAAAAAUCAUAACGUUUUAAUUAGCAAAAAUGUUCAUUUACCAGAGUUUUAAAUAACAAAGAUUUGCUUAGCAAAAAGAUUCACUUUGUAAUGAGAGUCGCUUAGAAAAAUAUUUUAGCAACAUCAUCUGAAUAAAUCAAUGAAAAAUGACUUUCCAAAGUGAAAGUGAGAAACUUUUGUACAGUUACACAAAAAAAAACCCAGCCGAAUAGCUUAGCUUCACGAGAUCUGAUGUAUUUUUAGACGAGAAGAGGAUAUGGCUGAAAUCUUAGGAGUCUUUAAACGUAAAAUAAUGCCACAGACAGUAUUUUACAUGCUAGUUGUAGUACGUGUGAUAACUAUCAGGACGCAUUAGGAUUGUUAGAAACAGGCAAAGUGUUUAAUAUGGUUAAAUCCGACACAAAUGGAUUUCAUGUCAUUUUGAACUUCUGUGCCCUCGUGUUAAUUCUCUCUAACCAAGUUGACAUUAUUAGCAUUUGAUGCCAACGCGAAUGUCUGACGCAUCCGGCCGCAUGCUAAUCUUUUACACUUUUUUUAAUGCAUACCAGUGUGAAAUUGGACUCAAGUCAUAACCCCAAAACAAUGGUACGCUUUUCUUCGCUCACAUUAAGAAGGUAAUUUAAAACCUCAUGUCUCACAGGAACACAAAAAUGCGUCUAGUCCGGUCACUAAAGAAUAUUACCAGGGCAACAUGGAAACCACUCGCGUGGAUUAGCUGCACUCAGAUUCUGACCUCAGGGACUUGAGGACAUCACGUGCACGUGUAUUCGCAAAGAACAACAAAGAAAAACAUUAUACGAUUUUUAGAAAGUGAGUUACAAUUUCACAUAUUAAAAAAAGUUCAGAAGCAGCUAAAAAAUAUUAUAAAUCGAUGGAUUACGACUAAAUUAAAAAAUGUAUCUAAAUAAAAAAAGAUAAUACAAUAUCUGGCUACAAACAGCUGAUUUGCUGUUAAAAUUUCUCCAUUUUAUUGUAACCUUUUCAAUUUGAAAUUGUACAAUUUUAAUGACUUUUAACAUUAUUUUAAUAAGUUAUUAAUGCAUUUUUAAUGUUAAGCUUUUUUUUAUAAAAUAAAUAUUGUAUUUUUUACUCUACAGAAAAUGAAAAUCGCACGUAGACGUUAAAAUAAAUAAACUACAUGUUUCGUUAAAUAUGUAUUGUGAUACGUAUCGUGUCUUGAGGAAACUUUGAUCUUUGAAACGCCUCUGAUAAUUACGGGAAUGUGAUAAAUUCGAAUUCAUAUUAUUUGUUCACUUUAAAUAUUUGCUUUCAACGCGUUCGGUCACACACACGAUAGAUAGAUAGAUAGAUAGAUAGAUAGAUAGAUAGAUAGAUAGAUAGAUAGAUAGAUAGAUAGAUAGAUAGAUAGAUAGAUAGAUAGAUAGAUAGAUAGAUAGAUAGAUAGAUAGAUAGAGCGAGACAAAGAGAGAGAGUGAGUGAGUGAGUGAGAGACAGAGAGUGAGUGUGAGUGAGAGAGAGAUAGGAAAGCAUGAACUUUCACUAUGAACGUUAUACAAAACUCGAACACCACCCAAUGAGUCAAAACCACACUCGCAAAGUGAACGAUAUAAAUUGUGUGCGUGAUGUGAUGCAUUUGGAGUUAUUAUUACUUAAGUGUAUGUUACAGCAGGGAUCAUUCUUCUGCUUCAGGCUUAAACUUCACUCUGUACAGAUUUUUUUUUAUCUGAUCCCAUACAUUCCUCCUGUACGGUGCCUCAGUGUCUGUAAUGUCCUGAGGAUUUAUUAACUUGUGUAUUUGUUGUCUGGAGUAUUUACAGCCCAGGGCUAUUUGUUGUCCAGAGUAUUCAUCGUUCUGUGUAUUUACUGUCCAGAAUGUUUAACACCUAGAUUGUUUAGAAUCUAAAGCAUUGAUCAUCCAGAGUAUUUACAAUCUCGAAUAUUUAAUAUUACUCGAGAUUACUAUUAAUAUUUACUUCCACAUGAUUUCUCUCAUAGACUUUUGCCUAGGAUUUAUUUUCGCAUUAUAUAUAUAUAUAUAUAUAUAUAUUAUUUCAUGACAUGAUGUCUCAUUUUUAUGUCACUUCUGGAGAUCAUUUGUUAAAAUGGACUUUGGCGUGUCGCUGCCAUAAACUCAUGAGGUGCAUGUGAGAUUUCCCGGUGUGUAUAUAUUAAAUAAUAAAAAUAAAAAAAUAAAAAGAACUCCAACAUGAUUUAACGACUCGGAACCUGAGGACUCGGUUACUUAACCAGACAUUUUAUAACUGACUUUCUCGGUGUUGUGGGUUAAAAAAUCACUAGUUUCUGAUCCGUCAGUAGAUUGUUUGAACGGAUGUGAUGAAUGUUAGCUUGUUGAGCUUGAUAAACACGUUUAAGGUCGUGUGGUGAGGUGGGAGGAAGGGGGGGGGAGCUGCCUGAGGUAAAUAAACCGCUUGAGCGUUUGAGCUGAACUUUCCCCAUUGUGGGACGAAUAAUGGUAUUUCUUAUCUUAACUUUCUGAUCUGAGGCUGGUGUGAAGAGGGAAGUUUCUCGGUCAGACAGGUGUUAGGUGUUCAGUGCUCAGGUGUUCAGUGCUCAGGUGUUCAGUGCUCAGGGCAGGUUUGUAUCCUCUGCUCAGUGUUUGUAAGUGUUUCUGUGGAGGUUUGUAUCCUCUGCUCAGUGUUUGUAAGUGUUUCUGUGGAGGUUUGUAUCCUCUGCUCAGUGUUGUAAGUGUUUCUGUGGAGGUUUGUAUCCUCUGCUCAGUGUUUCUGUGGAGGUUUGUAUGCUCUGCUCAGUGUUUGUGUUUCUGGUGAGGUUUGUAUCCUCUGCUCAGUGUCUGUAAGUGUUUCUGGUGAGGUUUGUAUCCUCUGCUCAGUGUCUAAGUGUUUCUGUGGAGGUUUGUAUCCUCUGCUCAGUGUUUGUGUUUCUGUGGAGGUUUGUAUCCUCUGCUCAGUGUUUGUGUUUCUGUGGAGGUUUGUAUCCUCUGCUCAGUGUUUGUAAGUGUUUCUGUGGAGGUUUGUAUCCUCUGCUCAGUGUCUAAGUGUUUCUGUGGAGGUUUGUAUGCUCUGCUCAGUGUUUGUGUUUCUGUGGAGGUUUGUAUCCUCUGCUCAGUGUCUGUAAGUGUUUCUGGUGAGGUUUGUAUCCUCUGCUCAGUGUCUAAGUGUUUCUGUGGAGGUUUGUAUCCUCUGCUCAGUGUUUGUAAGUGUUUCUGUGGAGGUUUGUAUCCUCUGCUCAGUGUCUGUAAGUGUUUCUGUGGAGGUUUGUAUGCUCUGCUCAGUGUUUGUGUUUCUGGUGAGGUUUGUAUCCUCUGCUCAGUGUCUGUAAGUGUUUCUGGUGAGGUUUGUAUCCUCUGCUCAGUGUUUGUAAGUGUUUCUGUGGAGGUUUGUAUCCUCUGCUCAGUGUCUGUAAGUGUUUCUGUGGAGGUUUGUAUCCUCUGCUCGGUGUUUGUAAGUGUUUCUGUGGAGGUUUGUAUCCUCUGCUCAGUGUCUGUAAGUGUUUCUGGUGAGGUUUGUAUCCUCUGCUCAGUGUCUAAGUGUUUCUGUGGAGGUUUGUAUCCUCUGCUCAGUGUUUGUAAGUGUUUCUGUGGAGGUUUGUAUCCUCUGCUCAGUGUUUGUAAGUGUUUCUGUGGAGGUUUGUAUGCUCUGCUCACCUUGCCGGAUCUCUGCGGUUCCUGGUGACACUGAUGUCCCUUCAAUGCGCUGCUUCUCCCCGGCUUCACUCCGUUCGCCGCCCGGUGCUGACACGCGUCCCCGUUCGCCUCCUUGUUCACCGCGCUCUCGGUCAUACUUCCCUACAAAGACGUGUAAGGACACAUCAAUAAACGUCGAACAAUUUAGAGUCGAAUUAAA
Long non-coding RNA from Tachysurus fulvidraco (yellow catfish), 3919 nucleotides. RefSeq lists it as uncharacterized. The record is from RefSeq and is a predicted model, not a curated record. The transcript has 2 exons. NCBI's taxonomy places the organism in Eukaryota, Metazoa, Chordata, Actinopteri, Siluriformes, Bagridae.